RNAcentral lists this ribosomal RNA (253 nucleotides) under uncultured bacterium. RNAcentral's name for it is "partial 16S ribosomal RNA". It matches the Rfam family "Bacterial small subunit ribosomal RNA", at positions 524 to 776 of the family's 1533-position model. The record is from RNAcentral.
UACGGAGGGUGCAAGCGUUAAUCGGAAUUACUGGGCGUAAAGCGCACGCAGGUGGCUGAGUCAGUCGAUUGUGAAAGCCCUGGGCUUAACCUGGGAAUUGCAGUCGAUACUACUCGGCUCGAGUAUGGGAGAGGGCAGUGGAAUUCCCGGUGUAGCGGUGAAAUGCGUAGAUAUCGGGAGGAACAUCAGUGGCGAAAGCGGCUCUCUGGAACGGUACUGACGCUGAGACGCGAAAGCGUGGGGAGCGAACAGG